GGAUGUAUGGCGCAAUGGUAGCGCGUCUGACUCCAGAUUAGAAGGUUUCGUUUU
This 54-nucleotide transfer RNA is filed under the name Gossypium hirsutum (cotton). It matches the Rfam family "tRNA", at positions 1 to 54 of the family's 71-position model. From Rfam's summary of the family: Transfer RNA (tRNA) molecules are approximately 80 nucleotides in length. The record is from Rfam by way of RNAcentral. Lineage: Eukaryota; Viridiplantae; Streptophyta; Magnoliopsida; Malvales; Malvaceae.